This 126-nucleotide small RNA is filed under the name Marmota monax (woodchuck). Lineage: Eukaryota; Metazoa; Chordata; Mammalia; Rodentia; Sciuridae. The record is from RNAcentral.
GCUGGGUAUGGUGGCGCAUGCCUGUAAUCCCAGAAGCUCAGGAGGUUGAGGCAAGAGGAUUCCAAGUUCAAAGCCAGCCUCAGCAACGGGUGAGGCACUAUGCAAUUCAGUGAGACCCUGUCUCAA